Molecule: ribosomal RNA, 466 nt
Filed under: uncultured bacterium
Lineage: Bacteria
Description: partial 16S ribosomal RNA
Rfam family: Bacterial small subunit ribosomal RNA
Source: RNAcentral
GAUGAACGCUGGCGGCGUGCUUAACACAUGCAAGUCGAACGGAAAGGCCACAGCUUGCUGUGGUACUCGAGUGGCGAACGGGUGAGUAACACGUGGGUGAUCUGCCCUGUACUUCGGGAUAAGCUUGGGAAACUGGGUCUAAUACCGGAUAGGAAUCACAUGUGGGUGUGUGGUUGGAAAGCUUUUGCGGUAUGGGAUGAGCUCGCGGCCUAUCAGCUUGUUGGUGGGGUAAUGGCCUACCAAGGCGUCGACGGGUAGCCGGCCUGAGAGGGUGUACGGCCACAUUGGGACUGAGAUACGGCCCAGACUCCUACGGGAGGCAGCAGUGGGGAAUAUUGCACAAUGGGCGCAAGCCUGAUGCAGCGACGCCGCGUGGGGGAUGGCGGCCUUCGGGUUGUAAACUCCUUUCGUCAGGGACGAAGCGAAAGUGACGGUACCUGGAUAAGAAGCACCGGCUAACUACGUG